CAACGUGGAUAAUCUACCCGACAGUCAGGGAUAACAUUUCGAGAGGAAUGCUAAUACCUGAUAAGCCUACGCCCUCUUCGGAGGAAGUAGGAAAAGGUGGGGACCUUCGGGCCUGCCGUUGUUGGAUGAGUCCGCGGCCCAUUAGCUAGUUGGUAGGGUAAUGGCCUACCAAGGCUACGAUGGGUAGCUGGUCUGAGAGGAUGAUCAGCCACACUGGGACUGAGACACGGCCCAG
RNAcentral lists this ribosomal RNA (235 nucleotides) under uncultured bacterium. Its description in RNAcentral is "partial 16S ribosomal RNA". It matches the Rfam family "Bacterial small subunit ribosomal RNA", at positions 113 to 334 of the family's 1533-position model. The record is from RNAcentral.